RNAcentral lists this ribosomal RNA (290 nucleotides) under uncultured bacterium. RNAcentral describes it as "partial 16S ribosomal RNA". It matches the Rfam family "Bacterial small subunit ribosomal RNA", at positions 1199 to 1482 of the family's 1533-position model. The record is from RNAcentral.
CCCUUAUGCCCAGGGCUACACACGUGCUACAAUGGCAGGUACAAAGGGAUGCCAAUCCGCGAAGGUGGAGCCAAUCCCACCAAAAGCCUGUCCAAGUUGGGAUCGGAGUCUGCAAUUCGACUCCCGUGAACCUGGAAUCGCUAGUAAUCGUGGAUCAGCACGCCACGGUGAAUACGUUCCCGGGCCUUGUACACACCGCCCGUCACACCACGAAAGUCUGCUGUACCCGAAGUAAGUGAGCUAACCCGCAAGGGAGGCAGCUUCCGAAGGUAUGGCCGGUAAUUGGGGUG